Molecule: long non-coding RNA, 370 nt
Organism: Sinocyclocheilus rhinocerous
Lineage: Eukaryota; Metazoa; Chordata; Actinopteri; Cypriniformes; Cyprinidae
Exons: 3
Source: RefSeq, a predicted model, not a curated record
CCGCGCGUUCCCGUGGCUUCAGUAACAGGUCCCUCCCGUAGCGAUAAACCCGAAGUUCUGCGUGAAUCUCUCUCAUCCGCGCGCUGAGUGCGUGUCUCGCGCAUCCGUGAGACUGGAAUAAUGAAGCCGGUGCGCGCUGGCCAAUAGCGGAGGGUGAUUGAGGGCGGAGGGAGCGCAGCGGCUGUCCGUCACCCUGCUGCUCGGAUGCGCUGCGAAGUGACCAGAUGUGCCUGAAUCGUGUCGGGCUCCUGGGGGCCACUGGGAUGAGAGCAACGCUGUGCACACCGGAGCAGAGGAGACGUGGGGGAAAUCCGUAAAGGGCCUGAAGAGAGUGAAAGCACAAGAGUGAGAGCUGCCGAGGUCUACCAUU